UAAAAAGUCAAAUGGUGGAUAAACUGUUUAAAUUAAAUGGGGAACCUUCCUCAAAGGCUAAAUAUAAUGUAUAAGCGAUAGUGGAAAGUACCGUGAGGGAACCAAAACAAAAACAGUGAUUUUAUAAGCAGUUCGGGAAAAAUAAAAAAAAAGUUAGAACGUACCUUUUGCAUAAUGGGUCACCAAGUUAACAUUAGAUGCGAGUAGGAGGCUUUGGCCAUACAUACGUAGUUAAACCGAGCGUUAAAAUAACGGUAAGUAUCUAAAGUUAGACCCGAAGCCUGGUGAUUUUACCAUAAUCAGGAUUAUAAAAGUCCGAACGGAAUAUUGUAGCAUAAAUAUCCGAAGAAUUAUGGUAGGUGUAGUGAAAGACAAUACUGACCAGGAUAGCUGGUUUUCUGCGAAACCUAUAACAGUAGGCAAUUUAAGUAUAAUAUCUUAGCAGGUACAGAAUUUAAUCUCAGACAAGACAUAAGGCUUAGCUUGCUAGCAAGUAAAGCUCAUGUUUUAUUUUGUACAAAUUGGGGGAUCAUGAAGAUUUUAUCAGUGAGUAUGUAGACUCGGAAUGGCAAAGAUAUAUCUUAAAUCAUCAGACAUAGAAUGAUAAGGUUGUAUGUCAAAAGGGAAACAGCCCAGAACAAGAGUUAAGGUUCCUAAAUUAUUAGUUGAGUGAAAUUAAGAAGGUUUUUAUUAAAGUCGACAAGGAGAUAGGCUUAGAAGCAGCCAUAAUUUUAUGACCUCGUAACAGAGCGCUUGUUAAGUUUUAAAAGCAUCGAAAAUUUAUCGGAUCUAAACAAUAUACCGAAACCUUGUCCAUAUUAUUUUAUAAUUAAAUCUUAAUUAUAAUUAAAUGGGGUAGCAGAACGUUGAGCUAAAUUAAGAUUUUUAUUUUUUAAAUGAAAUUAUAAUAAUUUAACUCAAGUGAUAAUGGUGACAUGAGUAACUAAAAGAAAAAAUAAAAUUUUUCCGCCUAAAGCUUAUGGAUGUAAUUAAGUAACGGCCUCUAAGUUUAUAUUAUCUAAAGAUUUAAACGAUGAGAUAAUCUUUUGUACUAAGGACGACAUUUUAAGUGAAAAAUGUACUGGAAAAAUAGUACUAAAUUAAUGGGUAUAGCUAAUUAGUUAGCUAUAGCUAUAAAUGAAAAGUAACCGUACCUAGAAUCUGAAACAAGUAAGCUAGUAGAGAAUACGAAGGCGUAAAUGAGCUAACAAUCAUAAAGGAACUCGGCAAAUUGACUACCGUAACUUCGGGAUAAGGAGAGCUCAUUAUUCUUGAUUAAUAUCAGGUAAAGAGGAAGAAGCAUGAAAUAGUGUUGUACGACUGUUUAAUUAAAACACAGCACUUUGCUGAAAGAUUAAAAAUCUAAGUAUAGAGUGUGAUGUCUGCCCGGUGCCGGCUGGUUAACAGAUAUAAUUAAAUAUACUAAUAUUUGAUGUAGACGGAAACCCCGGUUAAAGGCGGCCUUAACGUGAGGGUCCUAAGGUAGCGAAAUGCCUUGGCCGUUAAAUGCGGUCUUGCAUGAAUGAUGUAACGAUACAACAGCUGUCUCUAUGAUUGACUCAGUGAAAUUGGAAUAGCUGUGCAGAUACAGUUUACCUCUAGUUAGACGAGAAGACCCUAUGCAGCUUUACUGUCACUAAUUAUAGAGUAUGAUAAACAAUUUUCAGAUUAUAAGGUAAUUGACGGCUAGCUUGUUCAGCAAGCUAGCUCUAUGACAAUGAGAAUCCUUUAUUUUUUUUUCAUAUGAAUGAAUUGGUUUAGGAUUAUGAGUAGGUAGCGGCUUCUGCUACUUGGCGCAAGCAUUGCUUGCGUCAGGUGUCUGAAGUAUGCAUUCCAGCUCAUGCAUAGUAAAUCAACCUAAUUCAGCUUAUUUUCCUUUCUGCCAUAAGCGCAUAAUGAUAGAUUUAACUUAAAUUUUGAUUUAUGCCAGCUGCAGAAAUAGAUAAGUACCCUUGGCUAAGGAACUAUCGCUAGGGGACAGUUUAUGUGGGGCACAGACCCUGUAAAGAGUAAACAGGAGUGUCUAAUAAUUUAUAAUUAUUUUGUUUGCGAUUUAAGAUAGUAAAACUAUUUUUAAUCAUAUAAAAUUAUUUAUAUGUACAUUCGUUGUAUAUAUAUUUAAAAAAAGGUAGGAUUUUCACUAUAUAGAAAUUAGAGAUAAUAAAAAUAUUAAGAAUAUACGUUUCAGGCUGGGAGGGGGAAGCUCCUCCCUUUGAAAGGUAGCACUAAUAUUUUUUAGCUAUUAAGACAGGCUAUCAAGCUAGGCUCUAAUAGUUAUGUAUUAAUUAUCUAAAAAGCUCAACGGCUAAAUCUUGCCUUACUGUUUGAUUAUCAACAAAUCU
Molecule: ribosomal RNA, 2342 nt
Filed under: Fusarium oxysporum f. sp. lycopersici
Lineage: Eukaryota; Fungi; Ascomycota; Sordariomycetes; Hypocreales; Nectriaceae
Description: bacterial LSU rRNA
Rfam family: Bacterial large subunit ribosomal RNA (bases 1-1912)
Source: RNAcentral